UAUUUGGUCGUAGACCCGAAACCAGGUGAUCUACCCUUGGUCAGGUUGAAGUUCAGGUAACACUGAAUGGAGGACCGAACCGACUUACGUUGAAAAGUGAGCGGAUGAACUGAGGGUAGCGGAGAAAUUCCAAUCGAACCUGGAGAUAGCUGGUUCUCUCCGAAAUAGCUUUAGGGCUAGCCUCAAGUGAUGAUUAUUGGAGGUAGAGCACUGUUUGGACGAGGGGCCCCUCUCGGGUUACCGAAUUCAGACAAACUCCGAAUGCCAAUUAAUUUAACUUGGGAGUCAGAACAUGGGUGAUAAGGUCCGUGUUCGAAAGGGAAACAGCCCAGACCACCAGCUAAGGUCCCAAAAUAUAUGUUAAGUGGAAAAGGAUGUGGCGUUGCCCAGACAACUAGGAUGUUGGCUUAGAAGCAGCCAUCAUUUAAAGAGUGCGUAAUAGCUCACUAGUCGAGUGACACUGCGCCGAAAAUGUACCGGGGCUAAACAUAUUACCGAAGCUGUGGAUUGUCCUUUGGACAAUGGUAGGAGAGCGUUCUAAGGGCGUUGAAGCAUGAUCGUAAGGACAUGUGGAGCGCUUAGAAGUGAGAAUGCCGGUGUGAGUAGCGAAAGACGGGUGAGAAUCCCGUCCACCGAUUGACUAAGGUUUCCAGAGGAAGGCUCGUCCGCUCUGGGUUAGUCGGGUCCUAAGCUGAGGCCGACAGGCGUAGGCGAUGGAUAACAGGUUGAUAUUCCUGUACCACCUAUAAUCGUUUUAAUCGAUGGGGGGACGCAGUAGGAUAGGCGAAGCGUGCGAUUGGAUUGCACGUCUAAGCAGUAAGGCUGAGUAUUAGGCAAAUCCGGUACUCGUUAAGGCUGAGCUGUGAUGGGGAGAAGACAUUGUGUCUUCGAGUCGUUGAUUUCACACUGCCGAGAAAAGCCUCUAGAUAGAAAAUAGGUGCCCGUACCGCAAACCGACACAGGUAGUCAAGAUGAGAAUUCUAAGGUGAGCGAGCGAACUCUCGUUAAGGAACUCGGCAAAAUGACCCCGUAACUUCGGGAGAAGGGGUGCUCUUUAGGGUUAACGCCCAGAAGAGCCGCAGUGAAUAGGCCCAAGCGACUGUUUAUCAAAAACACAGGUCUCUGCUAAACCGUAAGGUGAUGUAUAGGGGCUGACGCCUGCCCGGUGCUGGAAGGUUAAGAGGAGUGGUUAGCUUCUGCGAAGCUACGAAUCGAAGCCCCAGUAAACGGCGGCCGUAACUAUAACGGUCCUAAGGUAGCGAAAUUCCUUGUCGGGUAAGUUCCGACCCGCACGAAAGGCGUAACGAUUUGGGCACUGUCUCAACGAGAGACUCGGUGAAAUCAUAGUACCUGUGAAGAUGCAGGUUACCCGCGACAGGACGGAAAGACCCCGUGGAGCUUUACUGUAGCCUGAUAUUGAAAUUCGGCACAGCUUGUACAGGAUAGGUAGGAGCCUUUGAAACGUGAGCGCUAGCUUACGUGGAGGCGCUGGUGGGAUACUACCCUAGCUGUGUUGGCUUUCUAACCCGCACCACUUAUCGUGGUGGGAGACAGUGUCAGGCGGGCAGUUUGACUGGGGCGGUCGCCUCCUAAAAGGUAACGGAGGCGCUCAAAGGUUCCCUCAGAAUGGUUGGAAAUCAUUCAUAGAGUGUAAAGGCAUAAGGGAGCUUGACUGCGAGACCUACAAGUCGAG
RNAcentral lists this ribosomal RNA (1693 nucleotides) under Staphylococcus aureus. Its description in RNAcentral is "partial 23S ribosomal RNA". It matches the Rfam family "Bacterial large subunit ribosomal RNA", at positions 700 to 2393 of the family's 2925-position model. The record is from RNAcentral. Lineage: Bacteria; Bacillati; Bacillota; Bacilli; Caryophanales; Staphylococcaceae.